This 264-nucleotide long non-coding RNA is filed under the name Phoenix dactylifera (date palm). RNAcentral describes it as "long non-coding RNA (PDAC_LNC019933)". Lineage: Eukaryota; Viridiplantae; Streptophyta; Magnoliopsida; Arecales; Arecaceae. The record is from RNAcentral.
GUAGAUUAUGCUUAAGACCAUCAACAUAUCGAACAUUAUCAAUAAAAGUUGAAGGGGUAAUUUGUACUUUACCUAUACCAAUGAUGUGACCUUGGUUAUUGUCUCCAAAAGUCACAGCACCUCCCUUCUUAGCUUCAAGGGUGAAGAAUUGAUCCUUGUCACCCGUCAUGUGUCUUGAGCAGCCACUAUCCAAGUACCAACAAUUCUUGUCGACCUUGGCUGCAAGACACUCCUACACAAGCAAAUCAUAUAAUCUUAGGUACC